RNAcentral lists this ribosomal RNA (1448 nucleotides) under Staphylococcus saprophyticus. Its description in RNAcentral is "bacterial SSU rRNA". It matches the Rfam family "Bacterial small subunit ribosomal RNA". Lineage: Bacteria; Bacillati; Bacillota; Bacilli; Caryophanales; Staphylococcaceae. The record is from RNAcentral.
GUCGGGUGCUAUACAUGCAGUCGAGCGACAGAUAAGGAGCUUGCUCCUUUGACGUUAGCGGCGGACGGGUGAGUAACACGUGGGUAACCUACCUAUAAGACUGGGAUAACUUCGGGAAACCGGAGCUAAUACCGGAUAACAUUUGGAACCGCAUGGUUCUAAAGUGAAAGAUGGUUUUGCUAUCACUUAUAGAUGGACCCGCGCCGUAUUAGCUAGUUGGUAAGGUAACGGCUUACCAAGGCGACGAUACGUAGCCGACCUGAGAGGGUGAUCGGCCACACUGGAACUGAGACACGGUCCAGACUCCUACGGGAGGCAGCAGUAGGGAAUCUUCCGCAAUGGGCGAAAGCCUGACGGAGCAACGCCGCGUGAGUGAUGAAGGGUUUCGGCUCGUAAAACUCUGUUAUUAGGGAAGAACAAACGUGUAAGUAACUGUGCACGUCUUGACGGUACCUAAUCAGAAAGCCACGGCUAACUACGUGCCAGCAGCCGCGGUAAUACGUAGGUGGCAAGCGUUAUCCGGAAUUAUUGGGCGUAAAGCGCGCGUAGGCGGUUUCUUAAGUCUGAUGUGAAAGCCCACGGCUCAACCGUGGAGGGUCAUUGGAAACUGGGAAACUUGAGUGCAGAAGAGGAAAGUGGAAUUCCAUGUGUAGCGGUGAAAUGCGCAGAGAUAUGGAGGAACACCAGUGGCGAAGGCGACUUUCUGGUCUGUAACUGACGCUGAUGUGCGAAAGCGUGGGGAUCAAACAGGAUUAGAUACCCUGGUAGUCCACGCCGUAAACGAUGAGUGCUAAGUGUUAGGGGGUUUCCGCCCCUUAGUGCUGCAGCUAACGCAUUAAGCACUCCGCCUGGGGAGUACGACCGCAAGGUUGAAACUCAAAGGAAUUGACGGGGACCCGCACAAGCGGUGGAGCAUGUGGUUUAAUUCGAAGCAACGCGAAGAACCUUACCAAAUCUUGACAUCCUUUGAAAACUCUAGAGAUAGAGCCUUCCCCUUCGGGGGACAAAGUGACAGGUGGUGCAUGGUUGUCGUCAGCUCGUGUCGUGAGAUGUUGGGUUAAGUCCCGCAACGAGCGCAACCCUUAAGCUUAGUUGCCAUCAUUAAGUUGGGCACUCUAGGUUGACUGCCGGUGACAAACCGGAGGAAGGUGGGGAUGACGUCAAAUCAUCAUGCCCCUUAUGAUUUGGGCUACACACGUGCUACAAUGGACAAUACAAAGGGCAGCUAAACCGCGAGGUCAUGCAAAUCCCAUAAAGUUGUUCUCAGUUCGGAUUGUAGUCUGCAACUCGACUACAUGAAGCUGGAAUCGCUAGUAAUCGUAGAUCAGCAUGCUACGGUGAAUACGUUCCCGGGUCUUGUACACACCGCCCGUCACACCACGAGAGUUUGUAACACCCGAAGCCGGUGGAGUAACCAUUUAUGGAGCUAGCCGUCGAAGUGACAAAAG